Molecule: long non-coding RNA, 2109 nt
Organism: Podarcis raffonei (Aeolian wall lizard)
Lineage: Eukaryota; Metazoa; Chordata; Lepidosauria; Squamata; Lacertidae
Exons: 4
Source: RefSeq, a predicted model, not a curated record
UAGUGGCGCCCGCCCUGUGGAAUGCUCUCCCAUCCGAUGUCAAGGAAAUAAUCAACUAUCUGACUUUUAGAAGAUAUCUGAAGGCAGUCCUAUUUAGGGAAGUUUUUAAUGUUUGAUGUUUUAUUGUGUUUUUAAUAGUCUGUUGGGAGCUGCCCAGAGUGGCUAGAGAAUACAUACAUACAUACAUACAUACAUACAUACAUACAUACAUACACACACUCAAAGAGGGUCUUGUUUCUCCCAUAGCCGUAGCAGUGGAUUCAGACAGAAAUCUACCAUCAUCUUCUGACCAUCUCUCCAGCUUUCUUGCCUUUAACAGCCUGCAACCUAAUUUUCCUUUAGAUCACACCACGGGGAACCCUAACUGCCUUUGUCUUCUAACUAUGAGUUGAGGAAGGGGCACAGAGCCUCCUCUUCUUGCCUUUCCUAAUAGCUCAUCGCUUCAGGUGAUUUUCUCACAAUGAAAAUUGCCUGGCGUAUCUUUUCACAUAUGCUGAAUCCAGGGGUUCAAUGCCUGGCACCCAGAAACUCAUAACAUUUAACUUCCUUGCAGCCUAAGGAAAGCUGUUUGUUUCUUAGUGGAAGACACUGGCAGAAAUUGCUAAUGUAGAGUAACGUCUGAUAAUGGAUCAGUGUGGUGUCUGUUUGAAAUGCAAUUAGUUAAAAUGCAGAUUUAAAAGUGGUUAUAAUGUAUUUGGAUCCUGUAUUUUUUAAAGCGCAACGCCUAUCUAUAGAUGUAAAAGAAUAUAGAGUAAAGUGUUAUGCUAUAUAGUUAUGUUUAGAACUUUAUAGUGUUUAUAGCUUAAUAGUAUUAUAAAGUAUAUAAGGUAUUGUGUGUACGAUACACGUAGAUUUGCAUAUUUUAAGCAGGAACCCCAAAAUACUUUUUACGAUUCCUGCCCAUUGCUGCAUCGAGGCUGGUAUAUGCAACCUUGCCUACGCAAUGAUUUUCGGGGGUGGGACACGCGAUGGAAAAGUUUGUUUAGUGAGCAGGUUGAGUCGCCGAAGUGCUUUUUCCCCUGCCAGAAAACCGUUAACUGACAACAGCUCCUGACUGGCCAGAGUUCCAAGGGAGGCAGUUGGAGUGAGAGUCUGUGUCAGAGACCCAUGGGGUCUGUGAGGGAGAAAUUGGAGGAUGGAGUGAUGGUCAUGAAGAAUAAGAAGGAAACAUUAGUGAAGAUGAGAUCACUAUAUGUUCAACCAAGCGACCAGGGGAUGGAGGCCACACCUGCUGAUAUGGUGUCUGUGGAUCUUUCUGACACUUCCACUUGCUGAGUCACUUUGCUGAGCAACUAUUUAUCUAUAGUUCAAAGAAAAGAGAUCGUUGGUGUAAAUUGUGUUUUCCGAAAAAUGAAAAUUUCUUCAUCUUGCCUAUGUUCCGGUCUGCGCAGGUUGAGAGAGCUGUUGGCCUCCUGUUGCUGCUCCAUAAAAAUCCAUCCCCUGGACUGUAUGAGGGAAGAAAGCGUCAUAGUAGAUGGAAGGAGGAUUAAAUUAAGAACAAUCUAUGUUAGGCCAAAAGACCAGCGGAUGGAUGCCACCAGUUCUUCCACCAGUGGUGAGUGUUGAUCUGUUAGAGACCCAUGGGUUCUGUGAGGGAGAAAUCGGAGGAUGGAGUGAUGGUCAUGAAGGAUAAGAAGGAAACAUUAGUGAAGAUGAAAUCACUAUAUGUUCAACCAAGCGACCAGGGAAUGGAGGCCACCACUGCUGAUAUGGAUGGUGUCUGUGGAUCUUUCUGACACGUCCCCCUAUUUAUGGAUAGUUCAAAGAAAAGAGAUCGUUGGUAUGAAUUGUGUUUUCCGAAAAAUGAAAAUUUCUUCAUCUUGCCUAUUUGAGAGCUGCUGGCCUCCUGUUGCCGUUCCAUGAAAAUCCAUCCCCUUGUCUGUUUGGAGGAAGAAAGUGUGAUGGUAUAUGGAAGAAAGAUUAAAGGAAGAACGAUUUAUGUAAGACCGAGAGACCAGGGGAUGGAUACCACCAGUGCUUCCAUCAAUGGCAGUGACAACAGUGAGACUAGCAGCUCCAGCACAGCUCUCUCUCCCCUCCAAGACCCAGUUCCCCCGUCCCCAAAAACUCAAAUAUAUAUAUAAAUAAAUAGUAUAUAUUUCCAAAACA